UGGGGGAUAUUGCACAAUGGGCGAAAGCCUGAUGCAGUGACGCCGCGUGGGGGAUGAAGGCCUUCGGGUUGUAAACUUCUUUUGCUCUGAACAAGGCAUGCCUUUGGGGUGUGUUGAGUGUAGGGGUUGAUUAGCGCCGGCUAACUACGUGCCAGCAGCCGCGGUAAUACGUAGGGCGCGAGCGUUGUCCGGAAUUAUUGGGCGUAAAGGGCUUGUAGGUGGCUGGUUGCGUCUGUCGUGAAAGCUCAUGGCUUAACUGUGGGUUUGCGGUGGGUACGGGCUGGCUUGAGUGCAGUAGGGGAGGCUGGAACUCCUGGUGUAGCGGUGGAAUGCGCAGAUAGCAGGAGGAAUACCGGUGGCGAAGGCGGGUCUCUGGGCUGUUACUGACGCUGAGGAGCGAAAGCGUGGGGAGCGAACAGG
RNAcentral lists this ribosomal RNA (420 nucleotides) under Fusobacteriota bacterium. RNAcentral describes it as "Fusobacteria bacterium partial 16S ribosomal RNA". It matches the Rfam family "Bacterial small subunit ribosomal RNA", at positions 355 to 776 of the family's 1533-position model. Lineage: Bacteria; Fusobacteriati; Fusobacteriota. The record is from RNAcentral.